UUUGUUGGACGCUAGCGGCGGAUGGGUGAGUAACACGUGGGCAAUCUGCCCUAAAGACUGGGAUACCACUUGGAAACAGGUGCUAAUACCGGAUAACAACAUGAAUCGCAUGAUUCAAGUUUGAAAGGCGGCGCAAGCUGUCACUUUAGGAUGAGCCCGCGGCGCAUUACCUAGUUGGUGGGGUAAAGGCCUACCAAGGCAAUGAUGCGUAGCCGAGUUGAGAGACUGAUCGGCCACAUUGGGACUGAGACACGGCCCAAACUCCUACGGGAGGCAGCAGUAGGGAAUCUUCCACAAUGGACGCAAGUCUGAUGGAGCAACGCCGCGUGAGUGAAGAAGGUCUUCAGAUCGUAAAGCUCUGUUGUUGGUGAAGAAGGAUAGAGGCAGUAACUGGUCUUUAUUUGACGGUAAUCAACCAGAAAGUCACGGCUAACUACGUGCCAGCAGCCGCGGUAAUACCUAGGUGGCAAGCGUUGUCCGGAUUUAUUGGGCGUAAAGCGAGCGCAGGCGGAAUGAUAAGUCUGAUGUGAAAGCCCACGGCUCAACCGUGGAACUGCAUCGGAAACUGUCAUUCUUGAGUGCAGAAGAGGAGAGUGGAACUCCAUGUGUAGCGGUGGAAUGCGUAGAUAUAUGGAAGAACACCAGUGGCGAAGGCGGCUCUCUGGUCUGCAACUGACGCUGAGGCUCGAAGCAUGGGUAGCGAACAGGAUUAG
This 713-nucleotide ribosomal RNA is filed under the name Lactobacillus delbrueckii subsp. lactis. RNAcentral's name for it is "bacterial SSU rRNA". It matches the Rfam family "Bacterial small subunit ribosomal RNA", at positions 81 to 781 of the family's 1533-position model. The record is from RNAcentral. Lineage: Bacteria; Bacillati; Bacillota; Bacilli; Lactobacillales; Lactobacillaceae.